RNAcentral lists this ribosomal RNA (770 nucleotides) under Enterobacteriaceae bacterium. RNAcentral's name for it is "bacterial SSU rRNA". It matches the Rfam family "Bacterial small subunit ribosomal RNA", at positions 57 to 822 of the family's 1533-position model. Lineage: Bacteria; Pseudomonadati; Pseudomonadota; Gammaproteobacteria; Enterobacterales; Enterobacteriaceae. The record is from RNAcentral.
GCAGUCGACGGUAACAGGAAACAGCUUGCUGCUUCGCUGACGAGUGGCGGACGGGUGAGUAAUGUCUGGGAAACUGCCUGAUGGAGGGGGAUAACUACUGGAAACGGUAGCUAAUACCGCAUAACGUCGCAAGACCAAAGAGGGGGACCUUCGGGCCUCUUGCCAUCGGAUGUGCCCAGAUGGGAUUAGCUAGUAGGUGGGGUAACGGCUCACCUAGGCGACGAUCCCUAGCUGGUCUGAGAGGAUGACCAGCCACACUGGAACUGAGACACGGUCCAGACUCCUACGGGAGGCAGCAGUGGGGAAUAUUGCACAAUGGGCGCAAGCCUGAUGCAGCCAUGCCGCGUGUAUGAAGAAGGCCUUCGGGUUGUAAAGUACUUUCAGCGGGGAGGAAGGGAGUAAAGUUAAUACCUUUGCUCAUUGACGUUACCCGCAGAAGAAGCACCGGCUAACUCCGUGCCAGCAGCCGCGGUAAUACGGAGGGUGCAAGCGUUAAUCGGAAUUACUGGGCGUAAAGCGCACGCAGGCGGUUUGUUAAGUCAGAUGUGAAAUCCCCGGGCUCAACCUGGGAACUGCAUCUGAUACUGGCAAGCUUGAGUCUCGUAGAGGGGGGUAGAAUUCCAGGUGUAGCGGUGAAAUGCGUAGAGAUCUGGAGGAAUACCGGUGGCGAAGCGGCCCCCUGGACGAAGACUGACGCUCAGUGCGAAAGCGUGGGGAGCAAACAGAUUAGAUACCCUGGUAGUCCACGCCGUAACGAUGUCGACUUGAGU